Molecule: unclassified non-coding RNA, 995 nt
Filed under: Hevea brasiliensis (rubber tree)
Lineage: Eukaryota; Viridiplantae; Streptophyta; Magnoliopsida; Malpighiales; Euphorbiaceae
Source: RNAcentral
CUUCCCUUUUGCGCUUUCUCUACGUCUUUGUGCGGUUCUGCGAUCCAUCUGCCUGCAUAUAAAAAUGGAGUAUGAAGAGAACCAACCAGUGGCUCUUGAGAAGUACGAUUGUCUCCUUUUUGAUUUAGAUGAGACGCUCUAUCCUAACAGUUCUGGUUUGGCUCAACAUGUCACCAAGAAUAUUGAAGAGUAUAUGAUUCAAAAGCUCCGCAUUGAGGAAAGUCAAGUCCCAGAAUUGUGUGUUUCCUUGUACAAGUAUUAUGGGACAACAUUGGCUGGUCUCAGGGCUAUUGGGUAUAAGUUCGACUAUGAUGACUUCCAUAAUUUUGUUCAUGGAAAAUUACCCUAUGAUAUCCUAAAGCCUGACCUUGUUCUUAGAAAUCUUUUACACAGUGUGCCUGUUCGGAAAGUUGUUUUCACCAAUGCUGAUAAGAAUCAUGCUGAGAGGGUCCUCAAUAGACUUGGGUUAGAGGACUGCUUUGAAGGAGUUAUAUGCUUUGAGACCUUGAAUAACACUAACAAAGGAAAUAAUCCCGUUGAAGAGGAUGAAAAUGCAGUUUUUGACAUCAAUGAAUAUAGCGCUGCUCCGAAUGCUGGUAUUGCACUUCCAAGGUCACCAGUUGUCUGCAAACCAUUUGAAGAGGCAUUUGACCAGGUGUUUAAGAUUGCCUGCAUCAACCCUCAAAGAACGUUGUUCUUCGAUGACAGCAUCCGUAAUUUACAGACUGGGAAACAGCUGGGCCUCAACACUGUGUGGGUAGGCUCUUCCCAUCGCACUGAAGGUGUAGACUAUGCACUUGAGAGCAUCCACAAUAUCAAGGAAGCACUGCCGGAGCUCUGGGAGGCUAACGAGAAGUCUGAAGAUGUGAGGUAUUCAGGGAAGGUUGCCAUUGAGACUUCAGUUAAGGCAUAGCAUAUUUGUAGGUGGGCAUUUUCUCAACUCUAUCUAAUGGGGUCACACGAUGACAUCUUAUUUGUUUGAAAUUAAACACGCU